GUUCGUAGGGCUCCAGUGUCAGCUGCUCCUGCGGCUUCAUGUUCUCCUGCUGCAUCUUCUUCACUUCAGACGCAAACACAGCUUCUGCUGAGGCCGUGGAGUCGAUGCAGUUGGCCUGGAGACGAAAAGGGACUCAAGUCUGAAACCCACAACAAGCUGGCAGUUUUCAACAUGGUGAAGAUGCCUGGGAAUUUUCUGUAUUUCAAAUAAAAAUGUUUUGAAAAAUG
Molecule: long non-coding RNA, 227 nt
Organism: Meriones unguiculatus (Mongolian gerbil)
Lineage: Eukaryota; Metazoa; Chordata; Mammalia; Rodentia; Muridae
Exons: 2
Source: RefSeq, a predicted model, not a curated record